Molecule: ribosomal RNA, 253 nt
Filed under: uncultured bacterium
Lineage: Bacteria
Also listed under: 3 other names
Description: partial 16S ribosomal RNA
Rfam family: Bacterial small subunit ribosomal RNA
Source: RNAcentral
UACGUAGGGGGCAAGCGUUAUCCGGAUUUACUGGGUGUAAAGGGAGCGCAGACGGCAAUGCAAGUCUGAAGUGAAAGGCGUGGGCUCAACCCAUGAACUGCUUUGGAAACUGUAUAGCUUGAGUGUCGGAGGGGUAAGCGGAAUUCCUAGUGUAGCGGUGAAAUGCGUAGAUAUUAGGAGGAACACCGGAGGCGAAGGCGGCUUACUGGACGACAACUGACGUUGAGGCUCGAAGGCGUGGGGAGCAAACAGG